Molecule: ribosomal RNA, 492 nt
Filed under: uncultured bacterium
Lineage: Bacteria
Description: partial 16S ribosomal RNA
Rfam family: Bacterial small subunit ribosomal RNA
Source: RNAcentral
AGUGAACGCUGGCGGUGUGCCUAACACAUGCAAGUCGAACGGCAGCACAGUAAGAGCUUGCUCUUACGGGUGGCGGGUGGCGGACGGGUGAGGUAUACAUCGCAUUCUUCUUUUUCGUGGGGGAUAACGUAGGGCAACUUACGCUAAUACCUCAUACGUCCUACGGGUGAAAUCAGGGGAUCUUGGGGCUUUGGGUGAUUGAAUGAGCCGGGGUCGGGUUGGCUAGGUGGCGGGGUAACGGCCCACCAAGGCGACGCUCCGUAGCUGGUCUGAGAGGAUGAUCAGCCACACUGGAACUGAGACACGGUCCAGACUCCUACGGGAGGCAGCAGUGGGGAAUAUUGGGCAAUGGGCGCAAGCCUGAUCCAGCCAUACCGCGUGGGUGAAGAAGGCCUUCGGGUUGUAAAGCCCUUUUGUUGGGGAAGAACAGCAGCAGGUUGAUCCGCGGCUGUUGUGACGGUACCCAAAGAAUAAGCACCGGCUAACUUCGUG